This 467-nucleotide ribosomal RNA is filed under the name uncultured bacterium. RNAcentral's name for it is "partial 16S ribosomal RNA". It matches the Rfam family "Bacterial small subunit ribosomal RNA", at positions 28 to 506 of the family's 1533-position model. The record is from RNAcentral.
GACGAACGCUGGCGGCGUGCUUAACACAUGCAAGUCGAACGGAAAGGCCCUGCUUUUGUGGGGUGCUCGAGUGGCGAACGGGUGAGUAACACGUGAGUAACCUGCCCUUGACUUUGGGAUAACUUCAGGAAACUGGGGCUAAUACCGGAUAGGAGCUCCUGCUGCAUGGUGGGGGUUGGAAAGUUUCGGCGGUUGGGGAUGGACUCGCGGCUUAUCAGCUUGUUGGUGGGGUAGUGGCUUACCAAGGCUUUGACGGGUAGCCGGCCUGAGAGGGUGACCGGCCACAUUGGGACUGAGAUACGGCCCAGACUCCUACGGGAGGCAGCAGUGGGGAAUAUUGCACAAUGGGCGGAAGCCUGAUGCAGCAACGCCGCGUGCGGGAUGACGGCCUUCGGGUUGUAAACCGCUUUCGCCUGUGACGAAGCGUGAGUGACGGUAAUGGGUAAAGAAGCACGGGCUAACUACGU